UACGGAGGGGGCUAGCGUUGUUCGGAAUUACUGGGCGUAAAGCGCGCGUAGGCGGCUUUGUAAGUUAGAGGUGAAAGCCCGGAGCUCAACUCCGGAACUGCCUUUAAGACUGCAUCGCUAGAAUUGUGGAGAGGUGAGUGGAAUUCCGAGUGUAGAGGUGAAAUUCGUAGAUAUUCGGAAGAACACCAGUGGCGAAGGCGACUCACUGGACACAUAUUGACGCUGAGGGGCGAAAGCGUGGGGAGCAAACAGG
RNAcentral lists this ribosomal RNA (253 nucleotides) under uncultured bacterium. RNAcentral describes it as "partial 16S ribosomal RNA". It matches the Rfam family "Bacterial small subunit ribosomal RNA", at positions 524 to 776 of the family's 1533-position model. The record is from RNAcentral.